AUUGAACGCUGGCGGCAGGCCUAACACAUGCAAGUCGAACGGUAACAGGAAACAGCUUGCUGUUUCGCUGACGAGUGGCGGACGGGUGAGUAAUGUCUGGGAAACUGCCUGAUGGAGGGGGAUAACUACUGGAAACGGUAGCUAAUACCGCAUAACGUCGCAAGACCAAAGAGGGGGACCUUCGGGCCUCUUGCCAUCGGAUGUGCCCAGGUGGGAUUAGCUAGUAGGUGGGGUAACGGCUCACCUAGGCGGCGAUCCCUAGCUGGUCUGAGAGGAUGACCAGCCACACCGGAACUGAGACACGGUCCAGACUCCUACGGGAGGCAGCAGUGGGGAAUAUUGCACAAUGGGCGCAAGCCUGAUGCAGCCAUGUCGCGUGUAUGAAGAAGGCCUUCGGGUUGUAAAGUACUUUCAGCGGGGAGGAAGGGAGUAAAGUUAAUACCUUUGCUCAUUGACGUUACCCGCAGAAGAAGCACCGGCUAACUCCGUGCCAGCCGCCGCCGUAA
RNAcentral lists this ribosomal RNA (506 nucleotides) under uncultured bacterium. RNAcentral's name for it is "partial 16S ribosomal RNA". It matches the Rfam family "Bacterial small subunit ribosomal RNA", at positions 30 to 523 of the family's 1533-position model. The record is from RNAcentral.